RNAcentral lists this transfer RNA (96 nucleotides) under Blochmannia endosymbiont of Camponotus sp. C-003. RNAcentral describes it as "tRNA-Ser". It matches the Rfam family "tRNA". Rfam says of the family: Transfer RNA (tRNA) molecules are approximately 80 nucleotides in length. Lineage: Bacteria; Pseudomonadati; Pseudomonadota; Gammaproteobacteria; Enterobacterales; Enterobacteriaceae. The record is from RNAcentral. RNAcentral also lists the same sequence under 1 other name.
GGUGAGGUGUCCGAGUGGCUUAAGGAGCAUGCCUGGAAAGCAUGUAUACAUACAAAACCUUAUGUAUCAAGGGUUCGAAUCCCUUCCUCACCGCCA